Molecule: ribosomal RNA, 115 nt
Filed under: Verrucomicrobiota bacterium
Lineage: Bacteria; Pseudomonadati; Verrucomicrobiota
Also listed under: 1 other name
Source: RNAcentral
CCCGGUGACCAUAGCGAGGGGGAAACACCCGUUCCCAUUCCGAACACGGCCGUUAAGACCCUCAGCGGCGAUGGUACUGUAGUGUAGGCUACGGGAGAGUAGCACGUUGCCGGGU